GGGCUGGAUCUUUCUUUUAAUUUCAUUUACAAAUAUUUGGGAGAGGGGAGGUCUUGAACUCCUCGGCCUCAAGCGAUCCUCCUGCCUCAGCAUCUAGAGUAACUAAGGAUUAAGGGCAUGAGCCACCACCAGGGCUAUGCACGGGAUCUUGGAGGAGCAGAAAAUCCCAGGGGCAAUUGGCUUGGCCGGGAGAGUAGACUGUUUUGGGUCAGGCCAACCCAAGCAUCUGGAGGUGUACGUGCUGGAAGGACAGUCAGAUGGUGUGUGUAGGAGAGAGGGGGAAGGCGCAGGGGAAGGCCUGGGGAAGCAGGCACCUGAACAACUGUCCCACAAAGCAGAAACAUCAUGGGCUUCAGAGGCAGGCGGUGCAGGACAGUUCUCCCAGUGGCCUUGAACUGACCUGGUUCUCCCCUCCUUUCUUGCUUGUAGUUCUCAAGAAUAACUGUAGACGCCUGUAAUCCCAGCACUUUGGGAGGCCGAGGCGGGCAGAUCACUUGAGAUCAGAAGUUCAAGACCAGCCUAGCCAACAUGCUGAAACCCCGUCUUUACCAAAAAUACAAAAAUUAUCCAAGCGUGGUGGUGGGCACCUGUAAUCCCAGCUACACGGGAGGCUGAGCAGGGAGAAUCCCUCGAACCUGGGAGGCGGAGGUUGCAGUGAGCUGAGACAGUGCCACUGCACUCCAGCCUGGGUGAUGGAGCAAGACUGUCUCAAUAAAUAAAUAAAUAAAACUGUAGAGUGUGCAGAGAAUGCAACAUCCUGAGGGAAGGAAGGACUGGCCAGCACAGCCAUGCUCUGUUCCAGUCCCCCUAGAAAAAGCAUGUCCUUCAACACUUCAGCCCAACAUGUCACAUGGCCCCAGGGUAUAAAGCCCAGGGCAGAAGCCGGGCGCGGUGGCUUACUCCUGUAAUCCCAGCACUUUGGGAGGCCGAUGCGGGCGGAUCAUAAGGUCAGGAGAUUGAGACCAUCCUGGCUAACACGGUGAAACCCCGUUUUUACUAAAAAUACAAAAAACUAGCCAGGUGUGGUGGUGCGUGCCAGUAGUCCCAGCUACCCGGGAGGCUGAGGCAGGAGAAUUGCUUGAACCUGGGAGGCGGAAGUUGCAGUGAGCCCAGAUGGCGACACUGCACUCCAGCCUGGGAGACAGAGUGAGACUCUGUAUCAAACAAACAAACAAACAAACGAAAAACAGGGCGGGCUGGUUUCUGGGGUCCCUCAGCUUCAGUACAAGUCUGGCUGGCUGGGCGUGGUGGCCCAUGCCUGUUAUCACAACACUUUGGGAGGCCGAGGCGGGUGGAUCACCUGAGGUCAGAAGUUCAAGACCAGCCUGGCCAACAUGGCGAAACUGUUUCUACUAAAAAAAAAAAAAAUAGCUGGACGUGGUAGUGCACGCCUGUAAUCCCAGCUACCAGGGAGGCUGAGGCAGGAAAAUUGCUUGAAUCCCAGGGUUCACACCACUGCACUCCAGCCCGGGUGAAAGAGCGAGACUCCAUCUCACAACAAACCAACAACAAAAAAAAAAGUCAGGCAUGCACAGACAACGGUCCAUCCCCCAGCUGCCUCAGCAGCUUUCCUGAGCCGUAGGGGUCCAGCUCCAAAUGAAUCCCAGCCUUCUGUUGUCCCUUAGUGCCUACCUAUAGGUAAUAAACACGUUGCAUGUCACUUGUGUUUGCCUCGCUGGACUCAGCGUUAUGUAACUUGUGGGUGUUUGCCUCACUGGACUCUGACAAGUUGGUAACUAGUGUGCAGUGAACCUGCCUAACAGACAGCUGGGUUCUGAUCCAGCUGUGUGACCUUGAGCAAGAUACGGAACCUCCCUGAGUUUCUGUUGGGUCAUUGGUGAAGUGGGACCAAUGGCUACUUGAAAGGAUUGUUGGGAAGAUUUGGAGAGAAAAUAAUGUGAAAGUACCUAGCACAGAGCCUGGUACUGAAAAUACCUUAAACCUAUGUUCAUUUCUUAAAAAGUCAAGAGGAGGCUGCUGCUGCCUUGGGCAGGCACGCUGGGAGGUAAGGGGGCAGGCACGCUGCGAGGUAAGGGGGCAGGCGCGCUGCGAGGUAAGGGGGCAGGCGCGCUGGGAGGUAAGGGGGCAGGCGCGCUGCGAGGUAAGGGGGCAGGCGCGCUGGGAGGUAAGGGGGCAGGCGCGCUGCGAGGUAAGGGGGCAGGCGCGCUGCGAGGUAAGGGGGCAGGCGCGCUGGGAGGUAAGGGGGCAGGAGCGCUGCGAGGUAAGGGGGCAGGCGCGCUGCGAGGUAAGGGGGCAGGCGCGCUGGGAGGUAAGGGGGCAGGCAGGAGGCAAGUUUCCAUUCCUGUGAACUGGGAAUCUAUGUGCCUUUUGGAACCCAGCUGUUUUUAUUUCUUGGGUCAAGGUACAACCUGCUUUAUCUGGCCCUGCCUACGAGGGAUGCCCCAGGUUCACCAAUCAAAACAAAUAAAAACUAAAAAUGAGGUUGGUUGGGGAGGAAGGGGGCUGGGAGAUGGGAGAUAAUAGUUAAAGAGUAUGGGGUUUCUUUCUUAGGUGAUGACAAUAUU
RNAcentral lists this long non-coding RNA (2525 nucleotides) under Homo sapiens (human). Its description in RNAcentral is "non-protein coding lnc-CHAD-1:1". Lineage: Eukaryota; Metazoa; Chordata; Mammalia; Primates; Hominidae. The record is from RNAcentral.